GACGAACGCUGGCGGCGUGCCUAACACAUGCAAGUCGAGGGGCAUCACGGAGUAGCAAUACUUUGGUGGCGACCGGCGCACGGGUGAGUAACGCGUAUGCAAUCUACCUACAACAGGGGGAUAACCCGGAGAAAUCCGGACUAAUACCGCAUAACACAGGGGUCCCGCAUGGGAAUAUUUGUUAAAGAUUUAUCGUUUGUAGAUGAGCAUGCGUUCCAUUAGGUAGUUGGUGAGGUAACGGCCCACCAAGCCUGCGAUGGAUAGGGGAACUGAGAGGUGUGUCCCCCACACUGGAACUGAGACACGGACCAGACUACUACGGGAGGCAGCAGUGAGGAAUAUUGGUCAAUGGGCGAGAGCCUGAACCAGCCAAAUCGCGUGAAGGAAGACUGCCUUAUGGGUUGUAAACUUCUUUUGUACAGGAAUAAAAAGAGGGACGUGUCCUUCAUUGCAUGUACUGUACGAAUAAGCAUCGGCUAACUCCGUGCCAGCAGCCGCAGUAA
Molecule: ribosomal RNA, 503 nt
Filed under: uncultured bacterium
Lineage: Bacteria
Description: partial 16S ribosomal RNA
Rfam family: Bacterial small subunit ribosomal RNA
Source: RNAcentral